Molecule: ribosomal RNA, 468 nt
Filed under: uncultured bacterium
Lineage: Bacteria
Description: partial 16S ribosomal RNA
Rfam family: Bacterial small subunit ribosomal RNA
Source: RNAcentral
GACGAACGCUGGCGGCGUGCUUAACACAUGCAAGUCGAACGGAAAGGCCCUGCUUUUGUGGGGUGCUCGAGUGGCGAACGGGUGAGUAACACGUGAGUAACCUGCCCUUGACUUUGGGAUAACUUCAGGAAACUGGGGCUAAUACCGGAUAGGAGCUCCUGCUGCAUGGUGGGGGUUGGAAAGUUUCGGCGGUUGGGGAUGGACUCGCGGCUUAUCAGCUUGUUGGUGGGGUAGUGGCUUACCAAGGCUUUGACGGGUAGCCGGCCUGAGAGGGUGACCGGCCACAUUGGGACUAAGAUACGGCCCAGACUCCUACGGGAGGCAGCAGUGGGGAAUAUUGCACAAUGGGCGGAAGCCUGAUGCAGCAACGCCGCGUGCGGGAUGACGGCCUUCGGGUUGUGAACCGCUUUCGCCUGUGACGAAGCGUGAGUGACGGUAAUGGGUAAAGAAGCACCGGCUAACUACGUG